This 432-nucleotide ribosomal RNA is filed under the name uncultured soil bacterium. RNAcentral describes it as "bacterial SSU rRNA". It matches the Rfam family "Bacterial small subunit ribosomal RNA", at positions 26 to 479 of the family's 1533-position model. The record is from RNAcentral.
AGGACGAACGCUGGCGGCGUGCUUAACACAUGCAAGUCGAACGAUGAACUCCAGCUUGCUGGGGGAUUAGUGGCGAACGGGUGAGUAACACGUGAGUAACCUGCCCUUGACUCUGGGAUAACCUCGGGAAACCGAAGCUAAUACCGGAUACGACAACCGACGGCAUCGUCUGGUUGUGGAAAGAACUUUGGUCAAGGAUGGACUCGCGGCCUAUCAGGUAGUUGGUGAGGUAACGGCCCACCGAAGCCUACGACGGGUAGCCGGCCUGAGAGGGUGACCGGCCACGACUGGGACUGAGACACGGCCCAGACUCCUACGGGAGGCAGCAGUGGGAAUAUUGCACAAUGGCGCAAGCCUGAUGCAGCAACGCCGCGUGAGGACGACGGCUUCGGGUGUAACCUCUUUAGUAGGUAAGAAGAGAAGUGACGUACC